Vidua macroura (Pin-tailed whydah) is the source of this 326-nucleotide long non-coding RNA. RefSeq lists it as uncharacterized. The record is from RefSeq and is a predicted model, not a curated record. NCBI's taxonomy places the organism in Eukaryota, Metazoa, Chordata, Aves, Passeriformes, Viduidae. The transcript is spliced from 3 exons.
CACAGCUGGUGGAUGUGCCUUAAAGGAAGCUGCAGCUUGUGAAGGCAGGACCAGAAAGCCAUCCUUGACCUCUUCUUUAGUGGAAGAGUAUGUGCAAAUGUCAAAGAGCUGCUAACUGUAAUCCAUUCUCCUUCCAGUUAUUGUCAUAGGUUGAUAUUGGAAGCACAAUCACUACAAAUACAGUGAAGUGAAUAUAUAUUCAUUCCUCAGACCCAUAAAAAUGUCCAGUAGAGACUUUGUUUGUAAGAGAAUAUGGAGAACAUAUGCUACACACUGCAGAGGCACUAGGUAGUGACUAAAGGAACUUGCCUAUCAAUUGCUUAAAA